RNAcentral lists this unclassified non-coding RNA (692 nucleotides) under Homo sapiens (human). Its description in RNAcentral is "partial baculoviral IAP repeat containing 5 transcript variant 7". The record is from RNAcentral. Lineage: Eukaryota; Metazoa; Chordata; Mammalia; Primates; Hominidae.
AUGGGUGCCCCGACGUUGCCCCCUGCCUGGCAGCCCUUUCUCAAGGACCACCGCAUCUCUACAUUCAAGAACUGGCCCUUCUUGGAGGGCUGCGCCUGCACCCCGGAGCGGAUGGCCGAGGCUGGCUUCAUCCACUGCCCCACUGAGAACGAGCCAGACUUGGCCCAGUGUUUCUUCUGCUUCAAGGAGCUGGAAGGCUGGGAGCCAGAUGACGACCCCAUGAGAGAGCUCUGUUAGCAGAAUGAAAAAAUUGGAAGCCAGAUUCAGGGAGGGACUGGAAGCAAAAGAAUUUCUGUUCGAGGAAGAGCCUGAUGUUUGCCAGGGUCUGUUUAACUGGACAUGAAGAGGAAGGCUCUGGACUUUCCUCCAGGAGUUUCAGGAGAAAGGCAAAGGAAACCAACAAUAAGAAGAAAGAAUUUGAGGAAACUGCGGAGAAAGUGCGCCGUGCCAUCGAGCAGCUGGCUGCCAUGGAUUGAGGCCUCUGGCCGGAGCUGCCUGGUCCCAGAGUGGCUGCACCACUUCCAGGGUUUAUUCCCUGGUGCCACCAGCCUUCCUGUGGGCCCCUUAGCAAUGUCUUAGGAAAGGAGAUCAACAUUUUCAAAUUAGAUGUUUCAACUGUGCUCUUGUUUUGUCUUGAAAGUGGCACCAGAGGUGCUUCUGCCUGUGCAGCGGGUGCUGCUGGUAACAGUGGC